Molecule: long non-coding RNA, 1763 nt
Organism: Ictalurus punctatus (channel catfish)
Lineage: Eukaryota; Metazoa; Chordata; Actinopteri; Siluriformes; Ictaluridae
Source: Ensembl
GGGAGGAAACAGAACAACGGGGAACUUCACAGCAUGAACCGAAAAGUUAGACAGAAAGAAAGUCUUUUGAAAUGGAAAACUUAAAACGAAAAAAGAACGAGGGAGGAGCGCGACAGGAUUUUCUUCUCAGAAAGAAGGAAGGAAAGAAGGAAAGGCUGGAUGGUAUAGAUUUGGUGUGAGGGUGUUAUUAGGUGGUUUUUGUUAUGAUUGUUAUGCUGUUAUAGUGUUAUUAGGGUGUUGUGAAGGGGUUGUGAUGGUGUUGGGAUGUGUUAGAGUGAUGUUACGGUGUUGUGAUGGUGUUAGAGGGUUAUGGUGUUAGUGUUGUGCUGGGAAUGAGUUAUUAGGGUGUUGUGAAGGGGCUGUGAUGUGUUAGAGUGAUGUUACGGUGUUGUGAUGGUGUUCGAGGGUUAUGGUGUUAGUGUUGUGCUGGGAAUGAGUUAUUAGGGUGUUGUGAAGGGGUUGUGAUGUGUUAGAGUGAUGUUACGGUGUUGUGAUGGUGUUAUUAGAGGGUUAUGGUGUUAGUGUUGUGCUGGGAAUGAGUGUUAUUAGGGUGUUGUGAAGGGGUUAUGAUGGUGUUGUGAUGGUGUUAUUAGAGGGUUAUGGUGUUAGUGUUGUGCUGGGAAUGAGUGUUAUUAGGGUGUUGUGAAGGGGUUGUGAUGGUGUUGUGAUGUUACGGUGUUGUGAUGGUGUUAUUAGAGUGUUAUGGUGUUAGUGUUGUGCUGGGAAUGAGUUGUUAUGGUGUUAGUGUUGUGCUGGGAAUGAGUUAUUAGGGUGUUGUGAAGGGGUUAUGAUGUGUUAGAGUGAUGUUACGGUGUUGUGAUGGUGUUAGAGUGUUAUGGUGUUAGUGUUGUGCUGGGAAUGAGUUAUUAGGGUGUUGUGAAGGGGUUAUGAUGUGUUAGAGUGAUGUUACGGUGUUGUGAUGGUGUUAUUAGAGGGUUAUGGUGUUAGUGUUGUGCUGGGAAUGAGUUAUUAGGGUGUUGUGAAGGGGUUAUGAUGUGUUAGAGUGAUGUUACGGUGUUGUGAUGGUGUUAUUAGAGUGUUAUGGUGUUAGUGUUGUGCUGGGAAUGAGUGUUAUUAGGGUGUUGUGAAGGGGUUGUGAUGGUGUUGUGAUGUUACGGUGUUGUGAUGGUGUUAUUAGAGGGUUAUGGUGUUAGUGUUGUGCUGGGAAUGAGUGUUAUUAGGGUGUUGUGAAGGGGUUGUGAUGGUGUGAUGUUACGGUGUUGUGAUGGUGUUAUUAGAGGGUUAUGGUGUUAGUGUUGUGCUGGGAAUGAGUGUUAUUAGGGUGUUGUGAUUGUGUUAUGAUGUCAUUAUUAAAGUGUUAUGAUGAGUUAGUGUGUUAUGGUGGUUUUAGGUGUUUUAUGGUGUUAUGAUGCUGUUAGUGUUCGUGUGUUGCGGUUGUGUUAUGAGAGUAUUACUAAGGUGUUAAGAUGUUUUAGGGUGUGAUUGUUAGGACAGUGUUAUAAUAGUAUCAGGGUGUUAUUGAGUUAUGAUGGGGUUAUUGUGUUAUUAUUGUGCUGUGAUUGUGUUAUGAUGGGGUUAUUGUGUUGUGUUAUUAUUGUGUUGUGAUUGUUAUGAUGAGGUUAUUGUGUUGUGAUUGUGUUAUGAUGGGGUGAUUGUGUUGUGAUUGUGUUAGUGUUGUGAUUGUGUUGUGAUUGUGUUGUGAUUGUGUUGUGAUUGUGUUGUGAUUGUGUGAUGAUGGGGUGAUUGUGUUAUUGUGUUGUGAUUGUGUUAUGUUGGGGUGAUUGUGUUGUGAUUGUGUUGUG